This 201-nucleotide ribosomal RNA is filed under the name uncultured bacterium. RNAcentral's name for it is "partial 16S ribosomal RNA". It matches the Rfam family "Bacterial small subunit ribosomal RNA", at positions 328 to 539 of the family's 1533-position model. The record is from RNAcentral.
ACGCUCGACACCUACGGGAGACAGCAGUGGGGAAUAUUGGGCAAUGGAGGCAACUCUGACCCAGCAACGCCGCGUGAGUGAUGAAGGUCUUCGGAUUGUAAAACUCUUUAAGUAGGGACGAAGAAAGUGACGGUACCUACAGAAUAAGCCUCGGCUAACUACGUGCCUGCAGCCGCGGUAAUCUGAGCGGGCUGGCAAGGC